CAUAGCCGCGGUAAAACGGAGGGGGCUAGCGUUGUUCGGAAUUACUGGGCGUAAAGCGCACGUAGGCGGCUUUGUAAGUUAGAGGUGAAAGCCCGGAGCUCAACUCCGGAAUUGCCUUUAAGACUGCAGAGCUAGCAGGUGAGAGAGGUGAGUGGAAUUCCGAGUGUAGAGGUGAAAUUCGUAGAUAUCGGAAGGAACACCUGUGGCGAAAGCGGCUCACUGGACAAUAACUGACGCUGAUGCACGAAAGCUAGGGGAGCAAACAGGAUUAGAGACCCCCGUAGUCCCUGUCUCUUAUACA
Molecule: ribosomal RNA, 301 nt
Filed under: uncultured bacterium
Lineage: Bacteria
Description: partial 16S ribosomal RNA
Rfam family: Bacterial small subunit ribosomal RNA
Source: RNAcentral